GAGAGGUUCAUGCCCUCAGCCGUUCAGCUAUUUAAACGUCAUCCCAUCAGUUAAAUUAUUCUGAAUAUUCUGGUGCUAAACGGAAUGAGGGUAGUCAUCCCUCUCAU
Molecule: microRNA precursor, 107 nt
Organism: Medicago truncatula (barrel medic)
Lineage: Eukaryota; Viridiplantae; Streptophyta; Magnoliopsida; Fabales; Fabaceae
Rfam family: MIR5294 microRNA precursor family
Source: Rfam